UUUACUUGAUUUUGUUAUGGGGGUUUCUUUUGUUUGAUCUGGGGGUUAAAUUUUAACCAUCUAAUUUCAGGUUUGUACAUCUUUGUUAGGUAGUAAAUAUAAGAUAGUACACAUGUGUUCCUGUUUUGACCGUAUCUUAUUGAAAAAAGACCUGCAAUGAAAGUGACCACACAUUAAGGAUCCAACAAGACUGUAUCUUCUUGAAAAGAGACCUGCAAUGAAAGUGACCACACAUGGAUCCAACAACUUAUGAUCUAUCUUCCUCCUCUUUAAGAACAAGUAGAUUCAACAACUUUUUCAUUCAACCUCAGAUCUCUAGUUAUAAGCUGUUUAUACAAAUUCUGCAACCAGGAUAGGAUGAGGUUUAUUAGGAUAAGUAGAGCAAACCUUCAGUGGCGUCUUGUUGAACGGCACGCAUUCAAAUCAGCUAUCAACAUGACAUGUUUUUGAGCUUUAGAAAGAUAAACUUCAACAAAUUUUAUAUAAAGAUGGGGAAUAGUGCCAGGCAGCUGCCUGACACUUCUUCAUUGGUCCAGGUAUAUUACGAUUUUACCCUAAGUUUAAAUCAUGAAUGUGCCCUCUGUUCAAAGUUACGGUUUUGCCCCUGAUUAAAAAUUAUAGUAUUUCCAUCGCUUUAACUUUUGGCAAAUUAUGAUUUUUCCAUAGCCAAAAAUUACACUUUUGUCCCUAGUUAAAAAUUACAGUAUUGUCAUCUUUUAGUUUUUUUUAAAUCCCCCGUUGGCUCGUGUAUGAUACGAUUUUACCCUAGUUAAAAAUUACGAAUUUGCUCCUGUUCAAAGUUACGAUUUUGCCCCUAGUUAAAAAUUACAGUAUUGCCAUCGUUUUACCUUUUGACAAAUUACGAUUUUACCUCCAGCCAAAAAUUACAAUUUUGCCCCAGCUCAAAAUUACAGUUUUGCCAUCGUUUUAGUUUUUUAGCAAAACUAUAGAAGUGUUCCGUUUUAAUUGUUUGACUCGAUUUAAUUUUUUUUCGUGUUAAGUAGUUGCCUAACAUUCGCUCAUUAGUCCUGACAUAUUACAGUUUUGCCUCGAGCUCAAAAUUACGGUCUUGCCAUUGUUUUAGUUUUUUUCUAGCAAAACUAUUGUAGUGUGUUUUUAGUUGUUUGAGAAUUACUCGGCCUACCGCCCCGCAACGUGGGCGGGGCAUCAACUGGUUAUAUACAAAACCAAUCGAGGGGAAUAGUGCCAGGCAGCUGCCUGGCACUCCCCAUUGGUCCGGGUAUAUUACGAUUUUCCCCUAAUUAAAACUUACAAAUUUGCCCCCUGUUCAGAGUUAUGAGUUUGUCCCUAGUUAAAAAUUAUUGUAUUGUCAUCGCUUUAGUUUUUUUGCAAAUUACAAUUUUACCCUAACCCAAAAUUACAAUUUUGCCCCAAUUAAAAAUUUACAGAAAAUUACAGUAUUGCAAUCGUUUUAUUUUUUUUUAAAGGUGUGUGGGGAAUAGUGCCAAGUUGCUGCAUGGCACGCCCCCACUGGCUCGGUUAUGUUACGAUUUUAUUCCCAGUUUAAAAUUACGAAUUUGAUCCUAUUCAAAAUUACGAUUUUGCCCAUGGUUUAAAAUUAUAGUAUUGAUAUCGCUUUAGCUUUUGGCAAAUUACGAUUUUACCCCAAGUCAAAAUAUACAAUUUUGCCCUCUGUUCAAAAUUACAGUAUUGCCAUCGUUUUAGUUUUUUUUUACCAAAACCAUAGAAGUGUUUUGUUUUAAUUGGUUGAGUCGAUUAAAUUUUUUUUUUCGUGUCAAGGAGUUGCCUAACACUCGCUCAUUAGUCCUGACAAAUUACAGUUUUGUCAUGAGCUCAAAAUUCUAGUCUUGCCAUCAUUUUAGUUUUUUUUUAACAAAACUAUUGUAGUGUUUUUUUAAUUGUUUGAGAAAUAUUCGACCUAUCGCCCCGCAACGCGGGCUAGGCAUCCACUAGUUGUAAAACAUCUUUGAUUCUGUCCAUGUUGGUUAAAAUCUCUAAGCCCACUAAAUUAGUUUCAGGCCCAUAUAUGAGAAUGUAAAUUGUAAAUAGUCAAAAGACAAAUCCCUUUUACCCUAAAUCCUCAACAUCGACGUCAAUCGUCAUCAUCAUCAUCGUCAUCCUCCAUCAACCUUCAUCGUCCACCGUCGUUCACUAUUAGGCAUUUUCCGUCUUCCAUACUACAUCGCCGCUCAUCAGGUUAUUGGUUUAUUCAUAAAAUGGAUCCGCGCAUUGAAACGCAGUCAACAGUACUAGGUCCUAACCAAAAAGGUUUCCAUUACUCGAUGAGAGAGUCCUACGAGGAGGUAUGGGAACAAAAAUUUGAGUCAUGUUUUUCCAACAGUUUGACUCACAUGCUCACUAUUCUCCACCGUAAGACACCCGGAAACGAACACCUACGCUUGUCGCCAAAUACUAUUUUAAGCUUGAUGCAGCCAAAUGGCAUCAUUCUUCCUAAAGAAGCGCUGCGUCAAGUUAUAAAUGAAGGGCUUGAAGAACUAGAGAUCAAGCAAGCCAUAUACGAGAAGGUCGAGAAUUUUCAAUACAAAGUGGGGAGUAAAAGAUAUAAACUGAAGAGUUUUGAGACUAUUACCAGACAUUUCAAUAUUUGCUAAAAAGUUGGCAGAAAACUUUAAUCUAUGAGGGUCUCGUUACCCGUUGUUAGGAUAUUGCUAUCCAAUAGAUAUCGUUGUCGAAAACCAAAUAGGUUGCCACGUUAGCAAGCAUGACCCAUAUCGCUGGGGUGCAUUUAAUAGCUUAGAUGACUGUCUUCUUUACGAUGCACAUCACUUUCCCCACCCUAAAGCUUACCCGCAUUCGUUCUUGAUCACUGGAUUGUAUGUAAGGGUUGACAAUCAUAAGCUGAUGGAUCUUAGCGUUGAGGUAAAAAACUCGUGAGGAACAAAAUGGGGUGACGGAGCAUAUGCAUGGGUGACGCUGGAUAUUUUCCAUCACGUUGGUGUACCGAGUAUUUAGAGAUGAAGAUGGAGUGAUGAAGAUCUGAUCAAUGUUUAAACUGUUGUUUAACUAACUUAACUAAUGAGUUAUCAUUGUUACUAUUUUUUUUUUUUUGCAAUUUGCUGAUGAAAUUAGUGCUUGACUAUGGUUAGAUUUGCUGAUGAAAUUAGUAUUUGAUUGCUGUUCCAAAUACAGUUUCAUUUAUGGAUUGUGUAUUCUAUUUAAGGUUUUGUAUGACGACGAUGGAUUGUUUCGGGUUUUGCGUUUCAGCAACCUACAUUUCAUCAUCUAUAGCCAUCAAAAAUGUUCCUUUAGAGGUUUUUCA
Long non-coding RNA from Helianthus annuus (common sunflower), 3262 nucleotides. RefSeq lists it as uncharacterized. The record is from RefSeq and is a predicted model, not a curated record. NCBI's taxonomy places the organism in Eukaryota, Viridiplantae, Streptophyta, Magnoliopsida, Asterales, Asteraceae. The transcript has 4 exons.